This 552-nucleotide unclassified non-coding RNA is filed under the name Hevea brasiliensis (rubber tree). The record is from RNAcentral. Lineage: Eukaryota; Viridiplantae; Streptophyta; Magnoliopsida; Malpighiales; Euphorbiaceae.
GUUUCAUAGAAAAAAAAAAGAUUCCUUUUGGUCUUCAAAUGCCAAUAAGGCAUUAAUUCAACUUGUUAUAAGAAGGGGGAAAAUAGGAAUAAUGAUAUCCUAGUUUCAAUUCUUUCAUUGUGCUUAUUGUUAUCCAUCACAAUUUUCAUCUUAUCAUCCUAUUGCAUAUAGGGAUUCACCAUUUCAAUUGGGACGUUUUACAAUAAAAUGAUGGAACUUUUGCAAGUUAAACUAACACUGACUAUGGACAACUGAAGAAAUGGUAUAAUGGCGAUUCCUAUUUUCACAUAUUUUCUAUUUGGGGUGCAUUGAGUUUCUUUCAUUCAUAUUUGCAAAGAAGAAACUACAUUUUAACUUUCAACACUACUGACAAAUGAAAGAAAUCGCAGAACAUCUUUUCAAUUGAAGGGUGAACCUUUUUGAACAUGUAUGACACUUGGAUAAAUACAAAGACUAUCAAAUGCUGCAACUAGAACUCCAGAUUGAAUAAUUUUGAGCUUAUUUGUGCACGGGUGCUUGCACCAGUGGGUGGGUGUGUGUGUGUGUGUGUGU